RNAcentral lists this ribosomal RNA (371 nucleotides) under uncultured organism. Its description in RNAcentral is "bacterial SSU rRNA". It matches the Rfam family "Bacterial small subunit ribosomal RNA", at positions 526 to 896 of the family's 1533-position model. The record is from RNAcentral.
CAGAGGUCCCAAGCGUUGUUCGGAUUCACUGGGCGUAAAGGGUGCGUAGGUGGCUAGGUAAGUUCGAUGUGAAAUCUCCGAGCUUAACUCGGAAAGUGCAUUGAAUACUAUCUAGCUUGAGGGUUGAGGGGGGACUGGAAUUCUCGGUGUAGCAGUGAAAUGCGUAGAUAUCGAGAGGAACACCAGUGGCGAAGGCGAGUCCCUGGACAACUCCUGACACUGAGGCACGAAAGCUAGGGGAGCAAACAGGAUUAGAUACCCUGGUAGUCCUAGCUGUAAACGGUGCACAUUUGCUGUAAGAGGAAUCGACCCCUUUUGUGGCGAAGCUAACGCGUUAAAUGUGCCGCCUGGGGAGUACGGUCGCAAGAUUA